AGGGUUGGCCACCUUGAGAAGCUGCGAAGAUGGCGGAGUAAGGCGUGCCGCUGUAAACUGGCCUCUGGGCCGGGGGCGAGCAGCCCCCGGGAGGCCGAGUGCAUCUGUUGGACCGUGCGAGGAGAAGAAAAAAAAGAUCGGCCAGAGGAGAGGAACUAACCGAACAUUCUUCCUCCCUACCUUAUAGAGGGGAGUGGUCAUCUACACUAAAGCAAAGUGUCAGGCGCGUCCGUGCCAAGAGACCACCAAACAGGCUUUGUGUUCCUUAUCACAGGAAGAAAAUUUUCCUUGACCUUUAGGUGCUUUUAUAUUCAUCUCAAAAACAAAAUUCUGAACUCAGGACUUGGCAAGUAAGUAAUUGUGGGCUAAUCGUUCCAAAUACUGUUUAAGCAGCUUGAAAACAGGUACAUAGAAGUGGAACAAUAAGCCGUUAGCUUCAGCAGAAGACGAACAUGAAAAAUGACUGUAAGCUAUUGAAAUUUAAGUUAAAUCUUUUAUUUUUCAACAAAAGAAAUGUAUUAAAUAAAAAGGAGUAAUCUUGAUCAUUUGCUCAAACUACCAAUAAUUUUUACUGUCUAAAGAAAACAGACACAUAUUUAAUUAGAUUGAAGGAAAUCAAAUGAUUGAAAAAUAGGCCUGGCCCGGUGGCUCACGCCUGUAAUCCCAGCAGUUUGGG
This 676-nucleotide small RNA is filed under the name Pan troglodytes (chimpanzee). RNAcentral's name for it is "retained intron". The record is from RNAcentral. Lineage: Eukaryota; Metazoa; Chordata; Mammalia; Primates; Hominidae.